Long non-coding RNA from Astatotilapia calliptera (eastern happy), 746 nucleotides. Lineage: Eukaryota; Metazoa; Chordata; Actinopteri; Cichliformes; Cichlidae. The record is from Ensembl.
AAAACCAAGGACACUCGGGGAGGCCGCGUUUUCCAGCCCCCAGACUGUGCUUGCAGUGACGAGAACCAGCAUCCUUACAGACGGACAACCGCAGUGGAUACACGCCAGCAGGGUUAAGAGCAGCGCCACUGGACCAUCACAGGCGUCGGAUCAAGCAGACGACGACUCAGGCGAGCCAGCGCCCGGAGCCAAUAUAUAUACACACACGCAAUCACUGAUUAACACACAACUCCUGAAAGAGCCAAGACUCAGAGAGCUCUUUGAUCCUCCACAUGAACAACAACAAGAUGUUUCUGGGUUGUGUCAGAACUCACGGAUGUAGAAGACUUCUGUGUAAGAUUUAUAGGCCUUGUGAGUGCAUCUUUAUUGCCCUUGCUGAACAAAGGAUUCCAACUGUCGAAGGACACCACCCCACCCAGUGGGCAGGGUCUGAACUGAAACUUGUUGUCUGCCUAUAAAAACUGCUGCACAAAGAAUAAACUUUGAGUUAGUUUGGGAUGACAAUUUAGAACAGUCUCCGCUUCUUUUUGUUCUUCCAAACUGCUCCCGGUACCCCGGCCGGUGCCGUAAUUAACCGUUGAUCAUACUUGAGAAUAUUUUAAUUGUUAUAGGUUAAAGGAUGAACUCUGAUGAUGAAAGCCCACGCCUCAGAGAAACCCGGAAUGGAGUUUCUUACAGUAGUCCUGUUUUAAUUCUGGAUCAGUUCUGGGUCUGGUUGAAUUGGGGUUCAGUCCCUGUGUCUUGAU